Long non-coding RNA from Acanthopagrus latus (yellowfin seabream), 484 nucleotides. RefSeq lists it as uncharacterized. The record is from RefSeq and is a predicted model, not a curated record. The transcript has 2 exons. NCBI's taxonomy places the organism in Eukaryota, Metazoa, Chordata, Actinopteri, Spariformes, Sparidae.
UUACCCUCAGGUGUCUUAUAGUCCGCAUCUCCCUUUGUCCUGUGCCAGAGUAUUUCGAUCAGGCGUGUACCCCAGCCUUUGAUCACAGUCCUCGCCUUGGACCACACCAAGUGCCCUCAUGUUUCCCCACUAAGUUGGCAUCCGAAUGCAGGAUCAGAGCAGGUGGCGGGUGCGUUGAUGAAAACCAAACAGCCGAUGGAGCAGGUCGAUGGCAGAGGGAGGCCAGGAGCAGCUGCAGCAAAUCUUUUUUGCUUAAUCAUGCGGCUGGUGGGGAAUUUAUCUGCAGUUUGCCACAUCGAGAUCCAAGUCCUUGACCUCUCAGCUGGUCGUCAUGUGUGCCCAUUACUGCCGCAAAAUGAUUGAAGUCAACGCUGAUGAGAAAUGUCUUCAGGAGUUAUUGGGAAAAACUGUUUGACUGUGAACUGCUGUAUGUCAUGUCACCCUUUACAGUCUGUAUUAAAAACGUUGGUUUGAUGGAUCUCAA